GCUUCGGCAAUGGGCGAAAGCCUGACCGAGCGACGCCGCGUGAGGGAUGAAGCCCCUUGGGGUGUAAACCUCUUUCGACCGGGAAGAACGUCCCGAUGGUGAAUCGGGAUUUGACGGUACCGGGAGAAGAAGCACCGGCUAACUCCGUGCCAGCAGCCGCGGUAAUACGGGGGGUGCAAGCGUUAUUCGGAUUUAUUGGGCGUAAAGGGCGCGUAGGCGGUCUGGUAAGUCUGGUGUGAAAACGCUACCGCUUAACGGAGCGAUUGCACUGGAUACUGCUAGACUUGAGUGCGGGAGAGGUGAGCGGAAUGUGUGGUGUAGCGGUGGAAUGCGUAGAUAUCACACAGAAUACCCGUGGCGAAGGCGGCUCACUGGCCCGCAACUGACGCUGAGGCGCGAAAGCGUGGGGAGCAAACGGG
This 419-nucleotide ribosomal RNA is filed under the name uncultured bacterium. Its description in RNAcentral is "bacterial SSU rRNA". It matches the Rfam family "Bacterial small subunit ribosomal RNA", at positions 359 to 776 of the family's 1533-position model. The record is from RNAcentral.